Molecule: long non-coding RNA, 1357 nt
Organism: Nannospalax galili (Upper Galilee mountains blind mole rat)
Lineage: Eukaryota; Metazoa; Chordata; Mammalia; Rodentia; Spalacidae
Exons: 4
Source: RefSeq, a predicted model, not a curated record
AUAUGUAUGUGUGUGUGUGUGUGUGUGUGUGUGUGUGGAUGUGUGUGUGUGAUAAUGCAUACUGACUAUAUAAGUUCUAAGUGAUAGUAUGUGCCCUUGCAUGACAAUAAGCAGCAUGCCCUAGAGCCAGGCUAUGUUCAGGAGUGAGUGGCAAUGCCUGCCUGGGACUAUGGCAGCUUAUAUUUGUAGAAUGAGCCUUGAAUGGCAAUGUGUGCCAUUGUAGACUGUGUGUCCUUCUCCCUGUAUGAUUGUAUGGCUCAGAUAUCACUGCUCCCACUUGCUUGCCUCCCAUUAGGGCCCCUCCUGCCACUGAGUCAGGAUCAGGAAGCUCAGGACUGCGCUCCUUUUCCUCCCUACCCUGAAGCCUCAGGUUGCUUCCAAGCUAGAAGGUGAAAGAAGGGAACAGAGGAGAGAAGAGGCAGCUCAGAGCGCAUCGGUGCAGGAAUCCACACAGCAAGCAUCCAGCUCAAACUGCAGCAGAUGCACUGAAUGAGAAAACAGAAGCCUAGAGAAACAUGGAUUCAUUCAGUUGCUGCUACUGGGUAAUAGACAAGUAUCCUGACUGGAGUGGUCCAAAAAAGGACUUGGUAACCAGACCCAGAGCUCACCCCAGAACAUCUAGGGAAGGGUUAUACCACAGAGGAAAAUCUCCGAAGAGAAACUGGAAACAGGAGUUAGGAGCCACCACAGAGACAACGUCAUGUACAUCUCAGAGGAAGAUGGUCACAGACAUGCUGGACUCUGGAUUCUGAGAAGCUCUGGAUUCAGUAUGUGAAAUCCUGAUGACAAAGCUGAGGAAGAUUUGAGAGACCUUGGAGAUAAAAGGUAUCCUUAUGGAGAUCAACCAUACACUGUGCAACCUUCACUCCCUCAAACCAUAAUUGGCAUGACUUCACUCUAGAAAUGGGGAAAGAGUGAAGGAGACUCAGCCCCUCUCCUUCCAGCACCUCUCUGAUGGCAAGCAAAGACAAGGGAAGGGACACCUAGUCCGUGGUAUACGUUGUGCAUUUAAUAUUCACAAGGCCCCACCUGGUGGAAAUGAUGUUUAGACAGAGAUUGAAAAGGUAACUAAUAGUGUGCCAGAGAGAAAACUGGGGGAGCCCAGAGGUCACCAGAGAAAUGUCUGUGUGUGGCAAAUAAGCCAGGGCCUUGCCGGACAUAUGUGAGAAGAAUGAAACACCAAGUGACAGCUGGUGAUUAUUUUUGGACUGAGGGGGUAAAAUCCUUGAGAACUAAACCUCUUGAGACCUUCUGCCCAAACCCCCAGAGCACCUCCCUGGGAUCAGAGCCAAGUCCUCAAACUCAGAUAGAUUUGAGAACUCAAACUGAUCAGCCUGGACCAUGUGUAUGUAGACAG